GCAUUUACGAAUUUGUCAGCUGGUGUUGUGUUAGGAUUCGUCCACAUUGAAAUUUAUCUAAAAUAUUUCUAAUCUAUAUGGGAUAAGAAAAAAUAUUUGUAAUUAUCUGUUAUAUUCCUAAUCCACAUGGGAUAAGGAAUAAAUCUAACAGAUAAAUCCUAAUCUAUUUAAAUCUCUAUCUAUGUGAGAUUUAGUUAGAAUAUGAUUAAAAUUAAUGUCUCCCUUAUGGCCUAUAAAUACAUGAGGUAUUGACCACAUACAAAUAAAACGAAAAAAAUAAAAUAAAAUAGAAUCAUCUCACCACAAAAAUUUUCUCUCUCUUGGAUUCACUCUAGGGCACUAUCAUAAACCCUAGGGAUUUGGGCGGUGUGCGGCAAUUGACUCUAGUAGCCGGAUUGUAACGAGUAAGAAUAACGUGCAACAAAUUGAGACAGGACGUUGGCGGAUCAACGAGUUUGUAAAACAAGACGAAAUUCGAUCCUGGUAAUCGUAAUACAUUCCGCAACAAAAGAGGUAUGUAAAAAUCUAUUUGAUUUUUGCGAACUAUUUAUUUGGAUAUUUAAUUAUUUUAUCCAACAUGUUGAAUAGGAUUAUAAACGUUUU
This 603-nucleotide long non-coding RNA is filed under the name Ananas comosus (pineapple). RNAcentral describes it as "long non-coding RNA (ACOM_LNC028219)". Lineage: Eukaryota; Viridiplantae; Streptophyta; Magnoliopsida; Poales; Bromeliaceae. The record is from RNAcentral.